Molecule: ribosomal RNA, 366 nt
Filed under: uncultured bacterium
Lineage: Bacteria
Description: bacterial SSU rRNA
Rfam family: Bacterial small subunit ribosomal RNA
Source: RNAcentral
AAUCAACGCUGGCGGCGCGCUUAACACAUGCAAGUCGCACGAGAAAGGGAGCAAUCCUGAGUAAAGUGGCGUACGGGUGAGUAACACGUGGAUGAUCUACCUUCUAGUGGGGAAUACCCCUGGGAAACCGGGGAUAAUACCGCAUAAGCUCGUGAGAGGAAAGCAGCAAUGCGCUGGAAGAGGAGUCCGCGGCUGAUUAGCUAGUUGGCGGGGUAAUGGCCCACCAAGGCGAAGAUCGGUAGCCGGCCUGAGAGGGCUCACGGCCACACUGGCACUGAAACACGGGCCAGACUCCUACGGGAGGCAGCAGUGGGGAAUCUUGCACAAUGGAGGAAACUCUGAUGCAGCGACGCCGCGUGAGCGAUG